This 75-nucleotide transfer RNA is filed under the name Pelodiscus sinensis (Chinese soft-shelled turtle). It matches the Rfam family "tRNA". From Rfam's summary of the family: Transfer RNA (tRNA) molecules are approximately 80 nucleotides in length. Their secondary structure includes four short double-helical elements and three loops (D, anti-codon, and T loops). Further hydrogen bonds mediate the characteristic L-shaped molecular structure. tRNAs have two regions of fundamental functional importance: the anti-codon, which is responsible for specific mRNA codon recognition, and the 3' end, to which the tRNAs corresponding amino acid is attached (by aminoacyl-tRNA synthetases). tRNAs cope with the degeneracy of the genetic code in two manners: having more than one tRNA (with a specific anti-codon) for a particular amino acid; and 'wobble' base-pairing, i.e. permitting non-standard base-pairing at the 3rd anti-codon position. The record is from Rfam by way of RNAcentral. Lineage: Eukaryota; Metazoa; Chordata; Testudines; Trionychidae.
UCUGGAGUGGCCCAGUGGAUAGGGCAUUUGCCUGGGGAGCACACAGAGUGGCUGGCUCAAGUCCCAUCUCCCGAC